AGCCCAACGAGAUCGGGAUAACACCUGGAAACAGAUGCUAAUACCGGAUAACAACAGAUGAUGCCUAUCAACUGUUUAAAAGAUGGUUCUGCUAUCACUCUUGGAUGGACCUGCGGUGCAUUAGCUAGUUGGUAGGGUAACGGCCUACCAAGGCGAUGAUGCAUAGCCGAGUUGAGAGACUGAUCGGCCACAUUGGGACUGAGACACGGCCCAAACUCCUACGGGAGGCAGCAGUU
This 236-nucleotide ribosomal RNA is filed under the name uncultured Lactobacillus sp. Its description in RNAcentral is "partial 16S ribosomal RNA". It matches the Rfam family "Bacterial small subunit ribosomal RNA", at positions 127 to 355 of the family's 1533-position model. Lineage: Bacteria; Bacillati; Bacillota; Bacilli; Lactobacillales; Lactobacillaceae. The record is from RNAcentral.